CCUACGGGUGGCAGCAGUGGGGAAUAUUGGGCAAUGGAGGCAACUCUGACCCAGCAACGCCGCGUGAAUGAUGAAGGUCUUCGGAUUGUAAAGUUCUGUGAUGGGGGAUGAACACAAUGACGGUACCCCAAUAGCAAGCCACGGCUAACUACGUGCCAGCAGCCGCGGUAAUACGUAGGUGGCAAGCGUUAUCCGGAAUGACUGGGCGUAAAGGGUGCGUAGGUGGUUUAGUAAGUUGGCGGUGUAAUUCCGGGGCUCAACCUCGGCGCUACCGCCAAAACUAUUAGACUAGAGUACAGUAGAGGUGGGCGGAAUUCGUGGUGUAGCGGUGAAAUGCUUAGAUAUCACGAAGAACUCCGAUUGCGAAGGCAGUUCACUGGACUGCAACUGACACUGAGGCUCGAAAGUGUGGGUAUCAAACAGGAUUAGAUACCCCUGUAGUC
Molecule: ribosomal RNA, 443 nt
Filed under: uncultured bacterium
Lineage: Bacteria
Description: partial 16S ribosomal RNA
Rfam family: Bacterial small subunit ribosomal RNA
Source: RNAcentral